AACGAACGCUGGCGGCAUGCCUAACACACGCAAGUCGAACGAGAUCUUCGGGUCUAGUGGCGCACGGGUGCGUAACGCGUGGGAAUCUGCCCUUUGGUUCGGAAUAACAGUUGGAAACGACUGCUAAUACCGGAUGAUGACGAAAGUCCAAAGAUUUAUCGCCAGAGGAUGAGCCCGCGUAGGAUUAGCUAGUUGGUGUGGUAAAGGCGCACCAAGGCGACGAUCCUUAGCUGGUCUGAGAGGAUGAUCAGCCACACUGGGACUGAGACACGGCCCAGACUCCGACGGGAGGCAGCAGUGGUGAAUAUUGGACAAUGGACGAAAGCCUGAUCCAGCAAUGCCGCGUGAGUGAUGAAGGCCUUAGGGUUGUAAAGCUCUUUUACCCGGGAUGAUAAUGACAGUACCGGGAGAAUAAGCUCCGGCUAACUCCGUGCCAGCCGCCGCCGUAA
This 449-nucleotide ribosomal RNA is filed under the name uncultured bacterium. Its description in RNAcentral is "partial 16S ribosomal RNA". It matches the Rfam family "Bacterial small subunit ribosomal RNA", at positions 29 to 523 of the family's 1533-position model. The record is from RNAcentral.